Molecule: small RNA, 578 nt
Filed under: Arabidopsis thaliana (thale cress)
Lineage: Eukaryota; Viridiplantae; Streptophyta; Magnoliopsida; Brassicales; Brassicaceae
Description: ATSL195270
Source: RNAcentral
AGCUACUUUUUAUUAUUACUAGGUUUUAACCCGCGGUUUACCGCGGACAAUCGGUUUAUUUGGUUCUUAUACUAAAUAUUUGAAUAAAUUUGAUAUCCUAAACUUAUAAAUAUAAAUUUCUAGUGAUUAGUGAAGAAUCGUAAUAUAUGAUUUGGAUAUUAUUGAUUAUUGAUUUCGUGAUUGAAUAUAGUGUUUUUAGGGAUGAAAUGUGAUAUAUUUUGAUUUCAAAAACGACAUAGAUUCCUUAUUUUUGUUGAACGGUUUAUAUUGAAGGGAAAUAAUUUUAUUGAACGGUUUAGAUUGAAUAGGAUCAUAAAAGUUUAGGAAAUUGUUAAGACCAAAUUACCCAUAAUGAUUUUGAAUAGCAAAGAACAAAAUCCAAAAUUGAAAUCAAAAUUGACGACAAAUUAGACAAAAUUUCAAUUUGUACUUUCCUUUUAAUAAUAAAGGGAUUAUUGAUACAUGCAUCUACAACAUACUUCCAACGGUUUCUACAAAAAAAAAAAAAUCAAAAUCAAAACAUGUUAUGCUUUGAGACCAAGAGUGAGCUCAAGGGACAAUUCUUCUUCACUUUUUGA